AGCAGUCUGAGCAAUUCAAUAUAAAUUUAUGAGAUACCAGUGAGAAUUGCCACUGUUUCACUCCUGCCCCUCCCAUGAGUAUAGACAAACAUGCUAGACCUUCCCGUCAGGGGAAGAACCCAUUAAGCCAGUUCAGCGGUCUCAAGUCACAGGUUGACCUGGAAUUAGAAAUUACAAGUAGCCAUGCUUGAUUAAACAGUCACUCCCUAGAUGCCACAGAAUCCUGUGGCUACUACUCUGAAAGCAAAGACACCUCCAAGACGUUGCCUCUAUCCAAGGAUGACUCCAGGGCUCUAAUAUCUAUCACACAGGUAGAAUCAGAUCAUUGACACAAGGCAAAGAGACUCCAACAUGCAUGGAAAGUAGUAUUUCCCAAGAUCAAUUUUGAGGAGCACUAGUGAACAUCGUAUUGGU
This 414-nucleotide long non-coding RNA is filed under the name Homo sapiens (human). RNAcentral's name for it is "HSALNT0335874". Lineage: Eukaryota; Metazoa; Chordata; Mammalia; Primates; Hominidae. The record is from RNAcentral.